GAAAAAUCCGAUCUUUAUGUCUCCGAUCAAAUCUUCAUGCUUUUUAGACGAAACCCACUAAAGGAAAAAUCUGAGUGACGACAAUGAGGUUGAGAGACAGAGAGAGAGAAGAAUACCAGUGAGGUUGAAGAAGGAAGCACCAUUAACAUAUAAAAUCACCAAUCUGAAAAAAGGUGAUGAUGAUGAUGAUGAAUGGUAG
Arabidopsis thaliana (thale cress) is the source of this 199-nucleotide non-coding RNA. The record is from RefSeq. NCBI's taxonomy places the organism in Eukaryota, Viridiplantae, Streptophyta, Magnoliopsida, Brassicales, Brassicaceae.